Molecule: ribosomal RNA, 253 nt
Filed under: uncultured bacterium
Lineage: Bacteria
Description: partial 16S ribosomal RNA
Rfam family: Bacterial small subunit ribosomal RNA
Source: RNAcentral
UACGGGGGGGGCAAGCGUUGUUCGGAAUUACUGGGCGUAAAGGGCUCGUAGGCGGCCAACUAAGUCAGACGUGAAAUCCCUCGGCUUAACCGGGGAACUGCGUCUGAUACUGGAUGGCUUGAGUUUGGGAGAGGGAUGCGGAAUUCCAGGUGUAGCGGUGAAAUGCGUAGAUAUCUGGAGGAACACCGGUGGCGAAAGCGGCAUCCUGGACCAACACUGACGCUGAUGAGCGAAAGCCAGGGGAGCAAACGGG